This is a long non-coding RNA of Cyanistes caeruleus (blue tit), 618 nucleotides long. RefSeq lists it as uncharacterized. The record is from RefSeq and is a predicted model, not a curated record. NCBI's taxonomy places the organism in Eukaryota, Metazoa, Chordata, Aves, Passeriformes, Paridae.
AUGGUGCAUCCUGCCUGCCUUGAGGAGGCUGACAUUCUGGGGGAGAAAAGCUUGUCUUCACUGCUCUUCAUGAGCUACCUGAAAAGCUUUACUAAAUACUUAGAGGAGGCUGUGCCUGGCAGGAUUUUUCAGUCAUUUUCCAAAUCAGAGUCCAAAUUGCAGUGUGGAGGAGGUUUUGAAAGUCAGAAUCACCUGGAGAAAGUCGAGACAAACCAUCCUGGACCAUCUGUCUGUCAAGAGCUUAACUUGUAGAGUAGAGACAGACUCUUCUGUAAAAUUAAAAGCCUCAUGGCAGCUACUGCCGCAGCCUGAGAAGCUUCUGUCUCUCCUCAGUGACCCUUCAGAGUUGUUUUGGAACUGCUCCCUAUAAAGAAAGCAUCUGACACAGAGGGCCCAGAGGAAAAUCCACCAAGUCACAGCUGGACCAUACUGGCAGUGAAGAUUCCUUGGAGAAGGUUAUACAUUUCAUCUGUUCUUUGCAAAGGGAACUUGAAUUUCUAGGGGUGAUACUCUGGAUGGUCCCUGCCUCUUGUGCACAAUGAUAUUUCCAGAGUUCAUCACACAUCAAUACUUAGAGUCAGUUCAAUGAAGGCCAAGACCAAAUUAAAUGCAAUAAAA